Non-coding RNA from Pelodiscus sinensis (Chinese soft-shelled turtle), 1683 nucleotides. The record is from the annotation of a RefSeq genome assembly. NCBI's taxonomy places the organism in Eukaryota, Metazoa, Chordata, Testudines, Trionychidae.
AUCUUGAUAACCUCAAAAAACCUCCUUGAUCUGCCAUCCGUCACUAUGUAAUGCCUAACCUUCCCUUACCUAUUCUGUUCCAUGUAUCAGUUCCUGUACUAUACACUCAGGCCAGUUGGGAACAGACUUAGUUCUACUAAAGAAAUCAAUGAGAACAAGAUUAGAGUAUGGGAUCUGCAAGAAAAAACUUGAAUCAUCGUGCUUAAUUCCAAUCUGCUUUCUUCAUAUACACCCAGUGCUCAAGUAUACAGACAGAUGUAACUAUUCAAGACUGUUCAAUGGGCAGCAACAAGCUAUUUCUGAAUCAGAGGGAGAAAACAGACUCCAGUGGGCAGAUUGUGCUGACUCAGACUCCAGAAUCCCUGGCAGUGUCUCCUGGAGAUACAGUCACUAUCCGCUGCAAAGCCAGUUCCAGCCUGACCUGGGGUAGCAAUCAGCUCCUAGCCUGGUACCAACAGAAAUCAGGACAAGCACCGAAGCUCCUUAUCUAUGAUGGAAGUUCCCUGCAAUCCGGGGUCCCAGCCCGGUUCAGCGGCACUGGGUCUGGCACAGAUUUCACUCUCACAAUCAACAGAGUUGAAGCUGAAGAUGCUGGAGUUUAUUACUGUCAGCAGUAUCAGAACUUUCCUCUCACAGUGAUACAGACCCAUACAAAAACCUCCCCACUCUGUUCCUUCAGGGUAACAGCUGCUUCCUACCUACAUUUCAGAGAAUUUGAAAAACCUUUCAGCACCACAGACUUCUUCUGCUCCCUCUGCUGAAGGGACUAGGAUAUUGUUGGCUCUUUCCGAAAACCAGUGUCCAAAUUUCUAGCUUCACUAUUGGCCCAAGGCCAAACAGAAGCAAAUGUCCCAUCCUUGCAAGUCAGUUACUCAGGGAAGGGGAAAAUCAGUGAUACGGAGUCUGAGUAUCCCAAGCCAUUGUUCAUUUAUUUGCACAUAAACAUGAGACCUUGGCAGAAAGCUGAUCUCAAGCAACAAGGAAACCCUUCUCUCAGAAAUCUAACCCAACACCAAUGUCCAGUACCUACACUGCAAGUCUGCUUCAAGAUUUCACUCUAAUCAGACACCACAGCAAAACACUCUCCUGUUUCUCAUACUGCUCCCUUUCCUCACAACCCUGCAUAACCCAAAACCAGCAAACACAAUGCAUUUCUUCCCAAAACUACACAUUUGCUCACAUAAUCAGAAAAACAACUGGAAAGCAUGUACAUAAGUGUACCACCGGACGAUUCCUCCCUUAACAUUAAUACACGGAAGUACAUUGUCCAGCCAGACAAGAUUAGUGCUAAAAUAUGUCUUUCCAUUGAGAAAUGUUCAUUGUACUGGAUGAAAUAAGAGUCACUUUUUCCUGCACAAUUUUAUUCCCUGGUUCCUUGCCAUCUUCUAAAACCUGUCUGGGCAGUUAAGGAUUACGCCAAAGACAGUUCUCUUCGUGCUUUAUUAGCAACAUUACCACAUGGACUGGCUUGGGAUAACAGACAAGAGCUAUUGGCUGCAUCUAGACUUCCAUUAAUGGAGGGAAGGUCAUAGCUACAUGGGGCCCUGAGGGAGAAACUGGACAGUUGUCAGGUUCACAAGUGAGCCAAUAGAGGGAGAAGCCCAGCAACAUGUAGACCCACUUUUUUCUCUACUCAAGCUCAUCUGAGGAAGUGCAUUUUACAUAUGAAAGCUCAUGAUACUA